RNAcentral lists this long non-coding RNA (533 nucleotides) under Vigna radiata. Its description in RNAcentral is "long non-coding RNA (VRAD_LNC003237)". Lineage: Eukaryota; Viridiplantae; Streptophyta; Magnoliopsida; Fabales; Fabaceae. The record is from RNAcentral.
AGAAGCAAAGGCUCCUCUGGGCCUCAACUAGUGUCAAGAAUCCCGCCUAUCCUGACACCUUAUAUGUUGCACCUCUUAUUGGACCUGACACUGUAAGCUAUCUUAUUUUUCAUUUUGUCAGUUUAUAAUUAGGAUACUUGAUCUUUGGCAAAUAAUGGACUCGUUGUUUUUCCUUGAUUGUUUGUAACAAACUUAGAAGUCAAAGGGUUUACCAAUAUUUUUUGUUGUAUCUCAUAGCAACAUAUUCUUACUUGGCAGGUAUCAACCAUGCCAGACCAAGCCCUUGAAGCAUUUAUCGAUCAUGGUACUGUUUCCAGGACAAUAGACUCAAAUGCAUCUGAAGCUGAGGGAAUAUACAAUGCUCUCCAGAAAUUGGGUAUUGACUGGGGCCAUGUUGGUAACCAGCUUGAACUAGAAGGAGUGGAUUCGUUUAAGAAGAGCUUUGACAGCCUCCUGGAUUCGCUGCAAGAGAAGGCAAACUCUCUUAAGUUGGUCAGUCACUGAAGUGUGAUCGUCAUGGUUAGCAAUGCUGU